UACGGAAGGCAGCAGUGGGGAAUAUUGCACAAUGGGCGCAAGCCUGAUGCAGCCAUGCCGCGUGUAUGAAGAAGGCCUUCGGGUUGUAAAGUACUUUCAGUCGUGAGGAAGGUGUUAAGGUUAAUAACCUUAGCAAUUGACGUUAGCGACAGAAGAAGCACCGGCUAACUCCGUGCCAGCAGCCGCGGUAAUACGGAGGGUGCGAGCGUUAAUCGGAAUUACUGGGCGUAAAGGGCACGCAGGCGGUUAAUUAAGUUGGAUGUGAAAUCCCCGGGCUUAACCUGGGAAUGGCAUUCAAGACUGGUUAGCUAGAGUCUUGUAGAGGGGGUAGAAUUCCAUGUGUAGCGGUGAAAUGCGUAGAGAUGUGGAGGAAUACCGGUGGGCGAAGGCGGCCCCUGGACAAAGACUGACGCUCAUGUGCGAAAGCGUGGGGAGCAAACAGGGAUUAGAUACC
This 454-nucleotide ribosomal RNA is filed under the name uncultured bacterium. Its description in RNAcentral is "bacterial SSU rRNA". It matches the Rfam family "Bacterial small subunit ribosomal RNA", at positions 340 to 786 of the family's 1533-position model. The record is from RNAcentral.